RNAcentral lists this transfer RNA (74 nucleotides) under Goniomonas avonlea. Its description in RNAcentral is "tRNA-Pro". It matches the Rfam family "tRNA". From Rfam's summary of the family: Transfer RNA (tRNA) molecules are approximately 80 nucleotides in length. Their secondary structure includes four short double-helical elements and three loops (D, anti-codon, and T loops). The record is from RNAcentral. Lineage: Eukaryota; Cryptophyceae; Goniomonadida; Goniomonadaceae.
CGGAAUGUCGCAUAGCCUGGUAUUGCGCCUGCUUUGGGAGUAGGUUUUCGCAUGUUCAAAUCAUGCCAUUCCGA